CAGAGGUCUCAAGCGUUGUUCGGAUUCAUUGGGCGUAAAGGGUGCGUAGGUGGCGCCGUAAGUCAGGUGUGAAAUCUCGGGGCUCAACCCCGAAACUGCACUUGAUACUGCGGUGCUCGAGUACUGGAGAGGAGAUUGGAAUUUACGGUGUAGCAGUGAAAUGCGUAGAUAUCGUAAGGAAGACCAGUGGCGAAGGCGAAUCUCUGGACAGUUACUGACACUGAGGCACGAAGGCCAGGGGAGCAAACGGGAUUAGAUACCCCGGUAGUCCUGGCAGUAAACGGUGCACGUUUGGUGUGGGAGGAUUCGACCCCUUCCGUGCCGGAGCUAACGCGUUAAACGUGCCGCCUGGGGAGUACGGUCGCAAGAUUA
This 372-nucleotide ribosomal RNA is filed under the name uncultured organism. RNAcentral describes it as "bacterial SSU rRNA". It matches the Rfam family "Bacterial small subunit ribosomal RNA", at positions 526 to 896 of the family's 1533-position model. The record is from RNAcentral.